RNAcentral lists this ribosomal RNA (498 nucleotides) under uncultured bacterium. RNAcentral's name for it is "partial 16S ribosomal RNA". It matches the Rfam family "Bacterial small subunit ribosomal RNA", at positions 28 to 507 of the family's 1533-position model. The record is from RNAcentral.
GACGAACGCUGGCGGCGUGCCUAAUACAUGCAAGUCGAACGAGAGCGACCGGUGCUUGCACUGGUCAAUCUAGUGGCGAACGGGUGAGUAACACGUGGGUAACCUGCCCAUCAGAGGGGGAUAACAUCCGGAAACGGAUGCUAAAACCGCAUAGGUCUUCGAGCCGCAUGGCUUGAAGAGGAAAAGAGGCGCAAGCUUCUGCUGAUGGAUGGACCCGCGGUGCAUUAGCUAGUUGGUGAGGUAACGGCUCACCAAGGCCGUGAUGCAUAGCCGACCUGAGAGGGUGAUCGGCCACACUGGGACUGAGACACGGCCCAAACUCCUACGGGAGGCAGCAGUAGGGAAUCUUCCGCAAUGGACGCAAGUCUGACGGAGCAACGCCGCGUGAGUGAAGAAGGUUUUCGGAUCGUAAAACUCUGUUGUUAGAGAAGAACAAGUGCUAGAGUAACUGUUAGCGCCUUGACGGUAUCUAAACAGAAAGCCACGGCUAACUACGUG